AAAUAUUAUUUAUCAAUAAAUGAUUACAAAUUGUGAUGAUAUACUGAUCAUAUUAAGUUGUUUGACAUUCUAAAUGUAUUAUUAUAUUAACAAUUUUCAAUAAAAAAAUAUAAUACAUUUAGCCCAACACAUCACAUCCACGCACAACACAUCCAAUAGCCCAGCAACAUAUCAGCCAGUUAGCAGCACCAUCAGCAGCAAAGCCCCAGCCUCAGCCUCAAUUCAGCCGUCUUUCUGAUUACGAUGCAUGCGAGAAGAUUUUCCUUGAUGACUUAUAGUGGCAAUUGAGCAUUUUCCACUCCUUCCCCGAAACUUCAUUUCUACUCACCUCCACUGGCAAGUCUCCUGUAUUCUUUGCAUACAACUCUUUCAAGCGCGGCUGUGAACAAACAUUGUUGUUGUUGUCCGUGCUUUGUGAUAUGUCUGGAGGGGAAACUCGUGUCAUACCAAAAUCAGUAUACCCAGGCCAAGACCAAGCAGCUGAGCAGCUACUUCCCAAACUUCCUCCUGUAAACAUAUAAAAUUAAGGCCUUUAUCCAGAAGAUAAUAAGACUUGCAGUUUACACAAUGUGGA
RNAcentral lists this long non-coding RNA (574 nucleotides) under Panax ginseng (ginseng). RNAcentral's name for it is "long non-coding RNA (PGIN_LNC001585)". The record is from RNAcentral. Lineage: Eukaryota; Viridiplantae; Streptophyta; Magnoliopsida; Apiales; Araliaceae.